UGAAUCCUCAAAAAUCCUUCAAA
This 23-nucleotide transfer RNA is filed under the name Pristimantis sp. SBH-2008. RNAcentral describes it as "partial tRNA-Phe". Lineage: Eukaryota; Metazoa; Chordata; Amphibia; Anura; Strabomantidae. The record is from RNAcentral.